AGCCACUACGUCGCUCAUUUGCCAGCACUCUGCUAUCCGCUCUGCGGACGUUUGGUGCGUUCGCCACGACGAACCGGACAGGAAAGCAAGGCCGCAGAAACAGCCACUGCGGCCGUUCUCCUCUUGUGGACUUCAAGACUUUACUAGUAUAAAGACGCACGAGUCGCCUCUGGAAGGCUCAGCGCGUGCGCUCCCGUCGCACUCGCCGCAGACGGUGCACGGGCAGUAUCAGGUGCGGACUGUUCAACCAGGACAACGUUUGUAGUGUGGAAACAGUUGGAAACAGUUGACCUUGCGGACGGCAUGCAGCGUGAUGAGGAAGCAGCGGAAGCCCCCGAGCGUCGCAGCGCAACGCUGCGGAAACGCUUUGCUUUCCUAUGGGCGCGUUGGCGACACUUGUGCCAAGGCCUCAGCCGUUCACUACUACAGCCCAGUCGACACUGGGACCUCUGCACGUGUCGAGACGCUCUGGUAGUGCUCCUCGCGUCCAGCCUCUUGCUGGCUCUGUGGUUUUACUGCCUUGUCGUACUAUCGUACCAGGUGCUCACCGCGGGCUGCAUGUGCUGCGGACUCGUCUUGGCGUUGCUGGAGCGGCUUCAACUCUGUGCCUCCGGCGCAAUCAACAAAGGCGACCGUGACAUCUUCGAUCCAAAGUGCACCCGAAACUUUGAACGCUGGUCCGCUAUGGUGCAUGCGGAAGAAACACGCCAAGCUGGAUCUGUCGCUCGACUUGAGCACAGCAUUCGCGGAAUACCUGCUGAAACUCCAUGAUGCUACGUUCAGGCCCUUUGCGCCAAAGCUCAUGAAACAAAAUGAAAGUGUCACAGUACAGGUCAUUAAUCUUACGGAGGAUAGUAUCUGAGCUUUCACCAAUCCACGCUGUCAUGAGCGCACCGUGUUGCACAAGUCGAGCUACAAAGGCACUGACGUGAAUCCCAGUGACCGCGAACGGGUAGUAGCGCUUUAGUUGCGGCAUCGAUGAUCCUGUGCUGGUUGUGUGCUCCGAAACAUCACUCCAGCGUUCCUCGUUUGCCUCACUGAGGAUACGCUGGACAGUGCGGGGUCGGGUUUCUGCAAAGUAUAUAAGUUGAUGAAGCGCGAAGAUGCCCAUUCCGCGAAAGUCUGUGCCUGGAUCAUCACCCUGGAAACCGACAUACCGCCAGUCGCGGUUCGGUGCCCUUGCUCCGGCUGGGAGCAUGGGUUCGACCAGUUGCCGCAGCUUCUGCAGCAGCUCCUGAUGACUUUUAUCUGCGCUCUGAAAGCUGGUGUUCACCCGCUCGUGAACGAUUUGCUUGGCACGCUCCCACUGAUACAAGUCCUCUAAACUCAGCCUGAGGUUCUCUUGAACCCUCCGCCAGUUACGGUAGCGAGUGGGUACCUUUUUUGCUGCCAGGAGGAUUCGCGCCCAGGCGCCCAAGUCCAUAGGAGGCCCUCCGGCAAGCUCCGUCUUAAAGCGCUGCCACGCAUCCGAUGCUUCUUUGGAGUUCUGCAGACAACGGUAGACCUGAACGCUCAUUGCUGCAGAAUGAUCCUCUCGACUGCAAAUUCGCGCUAGCUCGCUUUCACCUGUGGCCAAGUGACGGAGACUUUUUGACCAGUUCCCACCGCCAGUGCCCAUGGGAAGUGUGCGCUGCUAAGGGUGCGUAGCGGUAGCGCCCGGCACUCGUUAUACACCCUGCAAAACCUACAGCUUAAGGUAGUACUGUUGUUGCUGCUGUUGAAUCAUUAAGGGAUGAAAAUACCGAAAAACAGCACCAAUUACUUUGCACAGUAAAAGUGCUACAGCACACAC
This 1792-nucleotide unclassified non-coding RNA is filed under the name Cyanidioschyzon merolae strain 10D. RNAcentral's name for it is "hypothetical transcript". The record is from RNAcentral. Lineage: Eukaryota; Rhodophyta; Bangiophyceae; Cyanidiales; Cyanidiaceae.